Molecule: ribosomal RNA, 301 nt
Filed under: uncultured bacterium
Lineage: Bacteria
Description: partial 16S ribosomal RNA
Rfam family: Bacterial small subunit ribosomal RNA
Source: RNAcentral
CAGCAGCCGCGGGAACACGAAGGGGGCUAGCGUUGCUCGGAAUCACUGGGCGUAAAGGGUGCGUAGGCGGGUCUUUAAGUCAGGGGUGAAAUCCUGGAGCUCAACUCCAGAACUGCCUUUGAUACUGAAGAUCUUGAGUUCGGGAGAGGUGAGUGGAACUGCGAGUGUAGAGGUGAAAUUCGUAGAUAUUCGCAAGAACACCAGUGGCGAAGGCGGCUCACUGGCCCGAUACUGACGCUGAGGCACGAAAGCGUGGGGAGCAAACAGGAUUAGAUACCCCCGUAGUCCCUGUCUCUUAUAC